GUGUGGCGUCUUUCUGAACUCCCUCGACCAUCCGAGCUUCCAUAAUACCAUCCGGACUUCUCCGACAAUGAGCUUCUCCAUUCAUCUACCGAACUGCUCCAAAUGCUCUCUGGGCUUCACUAUCAGUUGAUUUUCUGUAGUGAUCGACUAUUCUCCAAACCCCUUCUAGACUUCUUCCGACCACGGAUGACUCUACUCCGAACUUCUUUCAGACUUCGUCAAUAUCCGAGCUUCUCUGAUAAUUGAAUUUCUACAGUAACCAGACUCCAUCCAAGUUUCUACAAUGGUCGACCACCUUCUGGAUUCCAUCCGAGCUCCUACGAGAACCAGAUUUCAGCCGAACUCCUACAAUGGAUGGAUCCCAGACGAAUUUCGACAAUGGAAGGGCUCCACCAGUC
Molecule: long non-coding RNA, 398 nt
Filed under: Elaeis guineensis (African oil palm)
Lineage: Eukaryota; Viridiplantae; Streptophyta; Magnoliopsida; Arecales; Arecaceae
Description: long non-coding RNA (EGUI_LNC054904)
Source: RNAcentral